GUUGAACGCUGGCGGCAGGCUUAACACAUGCAAGUCGAGCGGAGCGAGGGUGCUUGCACCUUAGCUUAGCGGCGGACGGGUGAGUAAUGCUUAGGAAUCUGCCUAUUAGUGGGGGACAACAUUCCGAAAGGAAUGCUAAUACCGCAUACGCCCUACGGGGGAAAGCAAGGGAUCUUCGGACCUUGCGCUAAUAGAUGAGCCUAAGUCGGAUUAGCUAGUUGGUGGGGUAAAGGCCUGCCAAGGCGACGAUCUGUAGCGGGUCUGAGAGGAUGAUCCGCCCCACUGGGACUGAGACACGGCCCAGACUCCUACGGGAGGCAGCAGUGGGGAAUAUUGGACAAUGGGCGGAAGCCUGAUCCAGCCAUGCCGCGUGUGUGAAGAAGGCCUUUUGGUUGUAAAGCACUUUAAGCGAGGAGGAGGCUACUUAGAUUAAUACUCUGGGAUAGUGGACGUUACUCGCAGAAUAAGCACCGGCUAACUCUGUGCCAGCCGCCGCAGUAA
This 501-nucleotide ribosomal RNA is filed under the name uncultured bacterium. Its description in RNAcentral is "partial 16S ribosomal RNA". It matches the Rfam family "Bacterial small subunit ribosomal RNA", at positions 28 to 523 of the family's 1533-position model. The record is from RNAcentral.